This 445-nucleotide ribosomal RNA is filed under the name uncultured bacterium. RNAcentral's name for it is "bacterial SSU rRNA". It matches the Rfam family "Bacterial small subunit ribosomal RNA", at positions 354 to 796 of the family's 1533-position model. The record is from RNAcentral.
GUAAGGAAUAUUGGACAAUGGGGGCAACCCUGAUCCAGCCAUGCCGCGUGAAGGAUGAAGGCGCUAUGCGUUGUAAACUUCUUUUAUACGGGAAAAAUUCCCUGGUUUCUACCGGGGUUGAUUGUACUGUAAGAAUAAGGGUCGGCUAACUUCGUGCCAGCAGCCGCGGUAAUACGAAGGACCCGAGCGUUAUCCGGAUUUAUUGGGUUUAAAGGGUGCGUAGGCGUCCCUAUAAGUUACGGUUGAAAUCUCCUUGCUUAACAAGGAAACUGGCCGUAAAACUGUAGGGAUUGAGUACACUUGAAGCGGGCGGAAUGUGUCAUGUAGCGGUGAAAUGCUUAGAUAUGACACAGAACACCGAUUGCGAAGGCAGCUCGCUAAAUUGUAACUGACGCUGAGGCACGAAAGCGUGGGGAUCAAACAGGAUUAGAUACCCGUGUAGUCC